AUUUGCAUCAGUUCAAUAUAUUAUAUUUCCAACAGCCGGUUAAAUGAAACCAUGCAUGACUUAGGCACCACAAAGACAAACAUAUUAACUUAUUGCAAAAUGGAAAGUGCUUCCAACUCGUAAUGUUCACUUCAAUAUUCCAUGAAUAUAAUAAAACUUCAAAAUGGCUAACAAGAUGGCCGGACAAUUCACUCAUCUACUGGCCUUUGCCCUAGCACAGAAAUGUCUUCAUAUCGUUUCUGCAGAAGAAAAUAUAAUUAUAACGCGCAAAAGUAAAAUAGUGAAGAGACAAAUUAAUUUGAAUCAUGAAUCAUAAAUGGUAUCAAAUCAUAAGAGUUAGAAGCAAACAGAAAGGUACAAUAGUUUCAAAUUGACAGUACUGACUAUAAUAAGGUUAAACUACAAUUGGACAAAACAGCAUAACAUAAUUCUCACAAAACAAACUCAUGUCAUAAGUCAGAAUGAAAACAGGUAAGUAGUUUGUUACUUGCUGGUAUGUGGGGAUAACUUCCCCUAGACUAGUUAUUUUGCAAUUUUCCUUUCGGGCUUAGCCCUCGUCAUUAUAAAAAAAAAUCAGUAUGAAAACAGUACAACGAUAUCGCCAAAUAAAUUGAAUGAUAUGGUGCAUAAAUUGAGUGAUAUAGUGUGGACUGUGGAGCCAUUUCAGAAGAGCAAUAAUAGAGCAAUGCAAUAUUCAAAUAGGUGCUCCUUCAAUAGAGCAAUGAAAUGAAUGGUAUGUGUGACCCCUUUCCUCAGAAGAACAUUAAAGAUAGCACAGUGGAAUAAUCCAAUUGGUUGCUUUUGAUAAUACAAAUUCAGUUCUUCAUGCAACAAAUAAAAAUUAUUUGAAUUUUCAAUUUCUUUGUGGUGAUUUGAUGAAAGAAAAACAAUAAAAAACAAAUUGCUGAAUUGUUAAUUUCAUGUCAGGAGUGGAAAAUCACACCGUUUCAUGCAUAUAUCACACUGACUCACAGUUAUUUACAAAUCAUUAUAGGAUACAACCCACUGACUUACAAGAUCAUUUUGAAUUGCACAAUCCUAUCAAAGACUGCUGUUUUAUAAGUAAAAAACAAAUUGUACAAGUGGCAAUAAACACCUGAGAUUCUGUCAAAAAAAUAAAGACCUCAGAUGAGAGUGAAAAAUAGACAUUCCUUUCAACAGAAGGCCAAUUUUGAUAUGGUUUCUGAAGCCUAAGUGCCUAAGCAACAAUAACAUUUGUAAACUAUAUUUGAUUAUU
RNAcentral lists this long non-coding RNA (1237 nucleotides) under Trifolium pratense (red clover). Its description in RNAcentral is "long non-coding RNA (TPRA_LNC005155)". The record is from RNAcentral. Lineage: Eukaryota; Viridiplantae; Streptophyta; Magnoliopsida; Fabales; Fabaceae.